This is a long non-coding RNA of Helianthus annuus (common sunflower), 348 nucleotides long. RefSeq lists it as uncharacterized. The record is from RefSeq and is a predicted model, not a curated record. NCBI's taxonomy places the organism in Eukaryota, Viridiplantae, Streptophyta, Magnoliopsida, Asterales, Asteraceae. The transcript is spliced from 4 exons.
UUAGCUUCUUUAAUACGCUUCACUUCACUCCAAAACCCUAAUACCCAUCUCCUGCAUCCGGUUCUUCCUUCUUCAUCGAUUGAUCUUCGAAAAACAUAGAUUUCUUCAUCUUCAAUCGCGAGUGGAAGCAACCAGUCCUUAUUAUGCGGCGUAUAAGGUUUUCCGAUUAAAUUCACGUAUUGAAGUAGAUUUUGAGCAAUUGUCAGAGGUGACGUUGUUUGCUGACACUAUUACAGUUCAACAAUUGGGAGUGAUGAUUUGGCAUACCAGAAAGGUCCUUUAGAGAGCUGAUCAUUCUUCCAAUCGAUUGCAAGCAGGUUCGUUUUCCAUAGAUUUGGUGUUAUUUUG